RNAcentral lists this long non-coding RNA (2099 nucleotides) under Daucus carota (carrot). Its description in RNAcentral is "long non-coding RNA (DCAR_LNC003626)". Lineage: Eukaryota; Viridiplantae; Streptophyta; Magnoliopsida; Apiales; Apiaceae. The record is from RNAcentral.
CUGCAAAUCCUCAUUCUGAGCUUUGAUACAAUCCCUUCCAAGUAGAAAAGUCAUAAUAGAAAAGUUGCUGCAAAGACUAUGAAGAUAAUAGCAAAUUAAUUUCUUUGUAAAAUAAACCUCUCGUUAAUUGUAUGUAUAAUAUCAGAAAUAUUGUAAUUAAUCAACAUAAGUUGCUGGUUUGAGGUACAUUCCGAUCAGAGAGAACAAGAGAACGAAGAUUAUCCGCAAUGAGAUUCAAGUAGUGCUAAGGGUAUCAUCAGCAAAAGACAGAAGGCUUUGCAAAUGGGAGAAGUUGAAAAUGAUGAUAUGUUUGUGUUGAAAUCUAAUUCAGGUGGUGUUUGGCUGGCCAUUAUAAGCCGACUUCUAAGUUUAUAAGUUAUAAGCAUUUAUUUGUACUAUUUGUGUAAAAAGUCAAGAAGCACUUAAAAGAAGUUAGGAUUAUACUUCUGCUUAUUUCCCAAACAAUUUAAUCACUUAUAAGUCUUAACUUGCUUCUGACUUCUACUUCACUUUUUUAUUUUAAGCAAAAAUCACUUAUUUUAAGCUCACCCAAACGGCCCCUCAAAAAAAAUCAAAGAAAGUGGAGCCGGAAUGGACAUUCAAGAGGUGAUGAAUGAAUGUAAACCAUUCUACUUGGCUGGCUUAGAGACAGCCUUAGAUUUGCUUGUUUGAACUUUAAUAUACAUCCAGAUUUUAGUUAAUGUUAUUUAACUGUUCAAAGUGCCCGUUAUGCUACUUGAUCAUCAUCCUGAUCUUUAGGGCGGGGACUCUGAUUAAUCCAGAGCGGAGAGGUUUUGUGAAGGAGAUUCCUUUGGACUGCAUUGGGCAACACUAUGAGAGUGUUUGGUUUAUGGUUAAUAAGAGCAUCUCCAAAAGACCAAGAGACUCUUAGUUGUUCUUCAUAUCACUAAUAACCUCUUGAUUCUUUCUCCUCUCUCCUCAAAGUUAAGAGCCACUACAAAGCUCUAAAAUAUCCAUUCCCUCCAAUUACAUUUGAGUCUGUGUCAUACACAAGUCCAAACAAAAAUAAAAUAUUAACUUAAGAGCAAGUAUAAAGAAUAUUGUUGGAAUUGAGACUCUUAAAUUUGUAUUAAGUUACUAAGAGUCUAAUAUUUUAUAUUAUAUUUAAGAGUUGGUUAUGCGAUUAUUGGAGAUGCUCUAAACUCGGUUAACAGAAAUCGAAACCUUAAUCUCAUAACAAGUGUUUAGAUUAAUUAUUUGGUGCUAUGGAAUGAGAACUAAACACUUGUUAUUUGGUGUUUUUAUGAUCAUUUUGCCGGAGCACUAUAGUUGCAAUGAUUCGAAAUCUCAAAUUUGAUCAGAAAAAACCCAAAAAUUAAAUGAUCUGUUAUUCGGAGGAUUUUAUUCCUUACGCUUAACCAAAUCGAAACCUUAAUCCCAUAACCAAGUGAUUAGAUUUCGAAUCAUGUCUCGUAUUCCAAUUAACCCUCGUUUCCGAUUCCCAUUCUCAACCUCAAUCCAAAAGCCCUCUAUGAGUUCCAGCUAUCUCCAUCUCAUGUACUUUGCCAGUGCACAAGAUCCACCUUCCAAUCAUAUGAUUCGGGACAAAAAUUACUCACACAAACACAUUCACCUCUUCAAUCCAUAACAAUCAGUUUACUAAACUGAAUCAAUCUUUGAUUCAUAGAAUGUCCUUCAGCAAAGAUGAAGAUGAAAAAACUUAUUCCAGGAUGUUCAUCAUAUUUUUCAUUUAAAACUGGCAAAAUAAUGUAUAAUGAAACCAUCCGACUAAACUUAUUUUUUAAAAAUAAGAAUUUAUUCCUGAAAAAAACACAUACAAGUCAACUUUUUUUCCUGAAAGAAGCCAUUUUCCCCACGUAAUCCCACGGAGCUUAAUUUAUGUAGCCAAACAGGCCCAACAGUUACUGCAGAUUAUGUAUUAGCUGAAAUUGAGAAAACGAAAAGAAAAAGGAUGUGGAUACAGCAUCUUUCAACGCAUAUGCAAUUGAUUGCUUAUGCGGAGGCGAAAGACAAGCAUCGUGUUUGUUAUCUGCCCGCAACGGAACGCAGCCGCCGUUAGAUUAUUUUCAGACGGAUGGUUCUUUAAAAGGCAUUUCUGUUUUUUAACCCUAAUCUCC